This 330-nucleotide ribosomal RNA is filed under the name uncultured bacterium. RNAcentral's name for it is "bacterial SSU rRNA". It matches the Rfam family "Bacterial small subunit ribosomal RNA", at positions 568 to 898 of the family's 1533-position model. The record is from RNAcentral.
UGCGUAGGCGGUUACCCAAGUCAGGUGUGAAAUCUCUCGGCUCAACCGGGAAACUGCGCUUGAAACUGGGUGACUGGAGUGAGGCAGGGGUGUGUGGAACUUCCGGUGGAGCGGUGAAAUGUGUAGAUAUCGGAAGGAACGCCGGCAGCGAAAGCGGCACACUGGGCCUUUUCUGACGCUGAGGCACGAAAGCUAGGGGAGUGAACGGGAUUAGAUACCCCGGUAAUCCUAGCCGUAAACACUGAACACUGGAGGAGGGAGGCUUCGGCCUUCUUUCUCGUAGCGAAAGCGUUAAGUGUUCCGCCUGGGGAGUAUGGUCGCAAGGCUGAA